GGGGAUUUAGCUCAGUGGUAGAGCGCUUGCCCAGCAAGCACAAAGCUCUGGGUUUGGACCCCAGUUCCCA
Non-coding RNA from Rattus norvegicus (Norway rat), 70 nucleotides. NCBI's taxonomy places the organism in Eukaryota, Metazoa, Chordata, Mammalia, Rodentia, Muridae. The record is from Rfam.